Trichobilharzia regenti is the source of this 49-nucleotide non-coding RNA. Lineage: Eukaryota; Metazoa; Platyhelminthes; Trematoda; Strigeidida; Schistosomatidae. The record is from Rfam.
AUCCAGUUGACGAGUCGCAAAUAGGAUGAAACGCGCAUCCUGACUGGAU